Molecule: ribosomal RNA, 253 nt
Filed under: uncultured bacterium
Lineage: Bacteria
Description: partial 16S ribosomal RNA
Rfam family: Bacterial small subunit ribosomal RNA
Source: RNAcentral
UACGUAGGGUGCAAGCGUUGUCCGGAAUUAUUGGGCGUAAAGAGUUCGUAGGCGGUCUGUCGCGUCUGCUGUGAAAUCUCAGGGCUUAACCCUGAGCUUGCAGUGGGUACGGGCAGACUAGAGGUAGGUAGGGGAGAAUGGAAUUCCCGGUGUAGCGGUGAAAUGCGCAGAUAUCGGGAGGAACACCGGUGGCGAAGGCGGUUCUCUGGGCCUUACCUGACGCUGAGACACGAAGGCCAGGGGAGCAAACGGG